UAAAGGUCCUCAGUCUGAAGGUGCCAAGUUUCUACCACUUCAGUAUCUGGUGCCCUAAUUAGGAACAGAGGAUUCGAGAGAAAGCCUUGGACCCUGAGUCUGAUACAUAGUUCCAGACCACUGUCAUUCCAGGUGUCAUGCUAAGGAUCUCAAACUCUCAUCUCCCUUCUUCAUUCACAUCAUAGCAGCCUCAGUGACCAAGUUUUCUUAUGGAAGGUCUGAAUCCAGUUAUUCAGCAAAAAGCAGCAUGAGAUCACCUUCUAACAUCUCUCCAGCUCCUUUGGGGUAGGUGAAAAGGGCUUUUCGUGGUGGGGCAAGGUCUGAGACACUGAAACCCGAUGCAGUAACAGAACUUCCACUGACCCCACCAGCUGAAGAGGAGGAUGAAGAGGCUGCCAUUUCUUCUAGAGGAAUUCUCACUUCACUGAAGAGAAAGAAAAACAGGAAUUGGCAAGUUUAUAGAUGUAAGACUGACAACAUUUCACUCUAGCUGCUAUAAGGGCCAGCAUAUCAUUUUAUAAAAAAUUAGCUCUCCUUUUUUUCUCAAGUCUCUACUUCCAACAAUCUUUUAUUGAAACCUCAGGUCAAAAUGUCAUGCAGGUUUUGAAAUGAAAAUAUGCUUAACAAUAGUUUGUCUACUAAAAAAAUUACUUCCUACCAUUAGCAAACUGUUUAUGUCAUUUGAGAUGGACUGUAGGUGAUUUAUAAAUUAUAAAUUAUGGCAGUGCCAAGGCAAAAAUGCGAUUGAGGACAUAAAAUAUGAGGUUAAAACAAUUAUCUUCCAUAGGACAGUUUGUCUUGGAUUCAUCCUGACCAAGCCACACCAAGAAGUUCACUCAUAAAAUUUUCCAAAUAAGAUUCCAGAAUAACACUGUGUUCUGUUCCCAGGGAAGGGAA
Molecule: long non-coding RNA, 897 nt
Organism: Sciurus carolinensis (gray squirrel)
Lineage: Eukaryota; Metazoa; Chordata; Mammalia; Rodentia; Sciuridae
Exons: 3
Source: RefSeq, a predicted model, not a curated record